CGAGUGGCGGAACGGGGUAGGAGUAACGACGUGAGGGAAACCCGCCUCAAAGAGGGGGACAACAGUUGGAAACGACUGCUAAUACCGCAUAAGCCCACAGUACCGCAUGGUACGGUGUGAAAAACCCAGGUGGUGUGAGAUGGAUCCGCGUCUGAUUAGCCAGUUGGCGGGGUAACGGCCCACCAAAGCGACGAUCAGUAGCCGACCUGAGAGGGUGACCGGCCACAUUGGGACUGAGACACGGCCCAA
This 249-nucleotide ribosomal RNA is filed under the name uncultured bacterium. RNAcentral's name for it is "partial 16S ribosomal RNA". It matches the Rfam family "Bacterial small subunit ribosomal RNA", at positions 84 to 334 of the family's 1533-position model. The record is from RNAcentral.